UGUCCUGAGGCUCGGCAGUGCUGCAUUGCUUUUUACUCGGUAUUUACGGCUGUGAUACUUUAACUCUCCUAAGGAAUCCAUCAGAUGUGCACCUCUGCUUACCACAGUUGUUAAUACAGUGGAGUCCCUCAGUGUGGUUUAUAUCACAGACUUUAAUUUUGGAUUGCUUACUUACGCAUAGUAACUAGAUUUAUUCUGUAUUAGAAAUAGUUUCUGCUCAGAAUAAUGAGGAAGCCAAUACACCACCAUAUAAGUGCACACACGAGUGCACAUAUGUACACACAUUUCAGUUUUAUUUUGUUUCAGUUUUUAAAAGGCUUUUAGGGGAGGGUUUCUGUCUUGUUUUUAAGGUACUGAUCAUCAAACCUAAGGCCUAAAAUCGAACUAAACGCUAGGUAGGCAUUCCACCACUGAGGUAUAUCCUCCACUCUUUUUUUUUUUUUAAAUAAAUAUAUACUUUUUUGAGACAGAGUCACUGAGUUGCCCAGGCUAACCUUGAACUUUUGUGAUCCUGCUGUGAUUAUAGGCCUGCCUCAUCAAGCCAUAUCAGAAUUCCAUUAGUAAUCUUAAUAAUGUGCCUUCAUUUAAAUAUUACAACUGCCAUGCGCCAAUUGCCCUGGUAGAUGCUAGGGUUACAAACACAUGCCCACAGUGUCCCCCUGAAGCUUAGAAUUGGUGGAGAGGACAGAAGAGCAGGCAGAGAGAAGUAACACAUCUGACAAAUACAGUAGCAGAAGUAGUCGUGAGUUGUAUUGGAAUUUUGUCCUGUAACAGCACUGUGAACGGUAACCAGUCUUGUCUUCUCUCAGAGUCUUUCUUCAGCUCAUGUGGAAGUCUACACAAACUGAGUGAAGAGCCACUAGUUCCUCCUCCGCUUCCCCCUCGGAAAAAGUUUGAUCACGAUGCUCCGAACUCCAAGG
This 920-nucleotide long non-coding RNA is filed under the name Rattus norvegicus (Norway rat). Its description in RNAcentral is "long non-coding RNA NONRATT025078". The record is from RNAcentral. Lineage: Eukaryota; Metazoa; Chordata; Mammalia; Rodentia; Muridae.